RNAcentral lists this long non-coding RNA (1446 nucleotides) under Capsicum annuum. RNAcentral's name for it is "long non-coding RNA (CANN_LNC014231)". Lineage: Eukaryota; Viridiplantae; Streptophyta; Magnoliopsida; Solanales; Solanaceae. The record is from RNAcentral.
CUUGACUAAUUUUUUUGAAAACUAACUCUUGCCUCAAAAAAUAAUUUUUAAGAAAAUUUAUGUAGUAAUCUCCGUGUCUUUCUAAAAAGUAACAAAUGAAAUUUCAAAAUUAAUUUAAUAAGAAAGCAAAUCGCUAAAAAAACUCAAAUUUUUCGAAAGAGCUUAUUCGUCAGUUUAUUUCAACAAGAGAGCUUAUUCGUCAGUUUAUUUCAACAAGUUGAAUAAUUCAAACAUUUUAGGUAGUAGUUUGUGAUGCAAUCUGGUGUUAUGUGUGUGUGAGAUACUACAUUGUUUUUUUUUUGGUGUUGAAUUCCUAACUUGCCCAGUUAGUCUUGCCUAGAUUGUAGGAUUGUUGGAUAGGAAAGGAUCAUAGGCCGUUCUUGAAAUAAGUUCACGUUUAUCCUAAACAACCUUCUAAAUGUGAAUAAGUAUUCUUUGAUCCCUAUUUUGAGCCUGUAUAGCCUAUUUUUCGUCUUACCUUUCACCUUCCUAUGUGUGUGACAACAAACCUAUUUUAUCCCUGAUCCUUCUUGGACAUUGUACACCUCAACUCAGGCAAAUCGCCUAAGUUGAGGGUGACUAUCAUAGGAGUGCAUAAUGUGAAGAGGGUAUGAAGAAGGGUAAAUAAGAGAAAAGAAAGUAGUGUUGGGUGUGGUAGAAAAAAAAUGAAAAAGAAAUAAAAAAAUUUGAAAAAUAAAAAGAACGAAUAAAAGAAAUUACACCCAACAUGAAUGUGCAAUACAACAUGAAAAGGAAAAAAUAAGGGUGGAUUAAAGAGAAUUGGUUGAUAAGUGGACCGCCAAAGUAAGUGCAGUGUCAAAGAGGCUUAGUCACUAAAAAGUUUCAUAUGUAUCAUACCAAUCCCCAAGCCUACAUUACAAGUUGAGUGAAAUCCUAUAGUGGUCCUAACUCGACUGUUUGAAAGCUAAGGUAAGGAAAAUAAGGGCAAAAUUAUGGUAUUCUACACACAUUGAUUAGAACCUCUUUGUGAGUAUGAGUGUCUCUUGAUAGUCCUUACAUUAACAUGCAUGAUUUCAUAUGAGUGAGUGGGACUUCUUUGAUGUGAGAGUUCAUGGGUUGUGUUGUUAGUUGGUUACUUGUUUGAGUACUGUAACUUUUACAUAUGCAUGGUUUUUUGUUGCUAAAAUAGUGUCAUAUCUUGAUUCCCUUGUGUCACAUUGUUGUGCUUUAUUGAUACAUACAAUUGGUUUUGAAGUGUUAAAAUUGGCGGGGGUAAUGUUUUGAACUUAAAGUGAUGAUUGACUAUCGUAGAUAGCUUAAGUGUCUCCUUGUUAAGUGUCGUUGUGUUAUUUAGUUGAGUCGUUCUAAGAUGAGGGUGUUGAUGUUCUAUUAUUUCAUAGCACUUUCGACGCUUAAAGCUAUGAAAAUAUGCAAGUUACUUAGGUUUUUUGUUAGAUAUAAUGUGUUUUUUUUUAUCUUUUGUAG